RNAcentral lists this ribosomal RNA (598 nucleotides) under uncultured bacterium. RNAcentral describes it as "bacterial SSU rRNA". It matches the Rfam family "Bacterial small subunit ribosomal RNA", at positions 25 to 664 of the family's 1533-position model. The record is from RNAcentral.
CAGGAUGAACGCUGGCGGUCUGCUUAACACAUGCAAGUCGAACGAAUCCCUUCGGGGAUUAGUGGCGGACGGGUGAGUAGCGCGUGAGAAUCUGCCUUCAGGUUCGGGACAACCACUGGAAACGGUGGCUAAUACCGAAUGUGCCGCAACGUGAAAGAUUUAUCGCCUGAAGAUGAGCUCGCGUCCGAUUAGCUAGUUGGUGAGGUAAAAGCUCACCAAGGCGACGAUCGGUAGCUGGUCUGAGAGGAUGACCAGCCACACUGGGACUGAGACACGGCCCAGACUCCUACGGGAGGCAGCAGUGGGGAAUUUUCCGCAAUGGGCGCAAGCCUGACGGAGCAAGACCGCGUGAGGGAGGAAGGCCCAAGCGGUUGUAAACCUCUUUUCUCAGGGAAGAAGAAAGUGACGGUACCUGAGGAAUCAGCCUCGGCUAACUCCGUGCCAGCAGCCGCGGUAAUACGGAGGAGGCAAGCGUUAUCCGGAAUUAUUGGGCGUAAAGCGUCCGUAGGUGGUUAUGUAAGUCUACUGUCAAAGCACAGGGCUUAACCCUGUAAAGGCAGUGGAAACUACAAGACUCGAGUGCGGUAGGGGCAGAGGG